UCUCCUCUCUCUUGUUGGUUCCUUCUUUGUUCUAGGCCCAGUCAGUUCUUUUUGUUCUUUCUCUCUUUCCGAUUUAAACAUGAGCAUAGGCAGAUACUGUACAUAUGUGGCUCACUAGUUGGAGAUUUUUCUGGCUGUGAUUAGGGAGGAUUAUUGCACAAUUACCCAAGCCAGUGCCUUGUAUUUAGGUGUAUCCUUCCUCUGUUAAUCAAAUUAGGUGCCUACAAGUCUGGUGCCAUGUGUCAAAUCCUCCCUCCAAAUUGGAUGGCAACUCUUUCUGCUACACAUAGAUAUGGUUUUUUAAACAGUUCUGCACUAUGUACAUAUGUGUUGUCCUGUUUAGGUUUGAGAUGGGGGAUGUUCGUCAGUUUUCGUUUGUAUGUGCUGCUCAUCUUUGUGACACUGUAGGUUCUUUCUUAUCUUGAAAGACUAGGCAGUUUUUUUCUUUGCGCCAAUGAAAAUAAGUAUGAGCUGCCCUCUCUACCCCCCAAAUCUACAUGUACAUCCACUGAUUGACUAAAACUUCUUUGGAUGUUCAGUUUCCUCUGUAUGAUUCAUUAAAUCACUUUUUGAUUCAAGCAAACUCAAGUUAUUACUUUCUAAAACCGAAGCAAAGAGUCCAACUUGAAGCAGCGAGUGAUAAAUUUCCAACACAAAAUACUACUUAUAUACUACUCCCUCCCUCCCAUAAUAUAAGAAGUAGUGAGUAGUUGAAGAGACCACAUUAUACGUUACUGGUGAUGUCAAGUUAAUUUGUUUUGAAGAGACCAUCAGGAAAAGAAUCUCUUGCAAGUGUUUGUGGAUCCAUGAUUCAUGGGCUUUCCAACUACUCAGUAGCUUGAUUCCUCGAGCUACAGGUUUUUUUGUUAGUAUAAACUAGCUAGCUGUUGGGCUUCCUUGGCAUGCAUCUCGUGUUUUACAUGAAUGAAGAAAACGGAAAUGUAAGACUUGUUGCUUUUUCUUAGUAUAUAUAUGUCGUUCAAAGGAUUUCCCACAAAUUUGACCAAGUUGAUGAUCCGUUUCAUUCUAAUUCAUACUCUGUCGCAUGGUACAUGUGGUAGUCGUCCUAGAUGCAUGCCAUAUCUAGCUUCAACUAACUGAAAACAUCCCUAUUUCACAGAUUUUGCAAGUAUAUGUGAUAAAGAUUCAUGAUUUGGCUGCUCACAUGCUUGCUGGCUAGAAGCUACUUGAAGUGAUAAAGAAUCAUGAUUUGGCACUUACUAAAUUCUUGGGUUUAAACAUUUUUUAUGAUCAACUCUGCUCUAUAACUGUAGGACUUUGAUUCAUUUCUUGAUGGUCUAAAAAUGGAUACAUGACCCAUUGGAAUCAAGAAGGCGCUAAGUUUAAUUCUCAUGAUUCCUCUAUCUCUUCUCAAGGGGAGCCUUUGGCUAGGAGUUCAGGGACCAGACGAUGGGUACACAAAAAAUGAUGAGCAACAAGGCUUGGAUGAGGAUGCUAGUGUGGAGUGUGCUGCAAAAACUAGACCGAAUAAGCACACCAAUGAAGAUGACAAGAAAGUAUUAUCAACUUCAUAUUUUGAAUUGAUAAGCAACUUGAUGAAGCAGCAGGUCAGUCCCAGGGUGGGGUGGGCACAUGAUAGCGAAUAUGAUGAUGAAGGUGAAUGGGUCUUGGUAAACAUCCCAUGAUCGAUGCUGCUUCUGGGACUGCGGUGCUGUCUGGCACAAGUUUGGCAGCAAAGCAACUCUACCUGCUCUGGCAUGGCGCGCACUCUGAUGUCUCCCGUCCUGCCUCCCCGGUGGUCGUUUCCUCUUCAAUUCUAGCAUAGAUGAGCAACUUGGCCAAGAACCAAGCCAACCCCAAGGUGUGGUGGGCCCCAUUAUAGUGAAGAUGAUGGCUUAGGUGAAUGGGUCUCGGUGAACAUCACAUGAUCGAUGUUGCUUCUAGGACCAUGGCUGCAUCUGGCACAAGUUUGGCCGGCAAAGUAGCUCUGCCUCCUUUGGCGCACACACUGACGCCUCUCGGCCUACCCCUCUGGUGGCUGCUUCCUCUUUGGUUCCGGAUAGGUAAGUCUUUUCUAGAUUAAAACCUUUCUGAUGGGCUGAGUUUCCUGUCAUAUGCUAUGCAUCUUCCGGAUGGAUCCUGUAAAUUCUGGGAGAUCAUGCUGCCUACCUACCAUAAAUGCCACUACUUUGUACCCUUCUUUGGUCUCCAUGUCCUAUGGUUGGCAUGUUUUUGGUGCCACAAGGUCGGUUGAGCAUAUGUGCAAACUUGUAAUGUCCUGGAGCUUUUCUUAGUGCUUGCUUCAGGUUUGGAUUUUGGUACAGUGGUAGUUCUGAAUUGGCCAUCUA
Long non-coding RNA from Triticum dicoccoides, 2309 nucleotides. RefSeq lists it as uncharacterized. The transcript has 5 exons. Lineage: Eukaryota; Viridiplantae; Streptophyta; Magnoliopsida; Poales; Poaceae. The record is from RefSeq and is a predicted model, not a curated record.